RNAcentral lists this non-coding RNA (172 nucleotides) under Lachnospiraceae bacterium. RNAcentral describes it as "6S RNA". It matches the Rfam family "6S / SsrS RNA". Rfam says of the family: E. coli 6S RNA was the first non coding RNA to be sequenced, but its function was unknown until recently. It consists of 184 nucleotides that fold into an extended hairpin structure with a large single-stranded internal bulge. The 6S RNA specifically associates with RNA polymerase holoenzyme containing the sigma70 specificity factor. The record is from RNAcentral. Lineage: Bacteria; Bacillati; Bacillota; Clostridia; Lachnospirales; Lachnospiraceae.
GACAACCUCGGGUGUUUGAGCUUUAGUUUUGAACCUACAGUUACUUUAAACGGGAUUCCUAUAUUCUCAUGCCUAUGUCAGGCCUCCUUGCAGUGGAAGACAGAAGUAUGUAUGCGGUUGCCCACCUAGAUUCGUUCUAGGAGUCAAAAAGAGCUCGGCAUUUCGGGGGUUU